UUUUGUUGUUGUUGUUGUUUUUGGUGCUGGGGAUCAGACUCGGGACCUUGCACUUCCAAGGCAGGCAGUGGAAUCACUGAGGUAAAUCCGCGGCCCCUGUUGAAUGAAUCCUGAUGGAGAGAACAUAAUCAUUGGCAGAAACAGAUAAAGCACAAGUAAAUAAACAGAUAAAAUUGUAACUCAUUCUGAUAAACACAAUCAAAGAAAGGAGGAAAACUAAGGUAAAUAGAAGAAUAAAAGAGAGGCCAACAUGAGGCGCGACAGAGAUUUUCCUCAGGGAAGGAAGUGCAAGUUCAGCCCCACAGGAUAACCAGCGGCAGCCCCGUGAAGACCUGAGGAACAAGCGACAAGGUGGAAGGCAUGGCCUGUGCUGUCUCCCAAGGCCACCCACGGGGGCAGCGGAGGGGCUGACAGGGAGGGAAAGUGGCUGGAUCAUCAGGAGGCCAGGAGAAAGAAAGGACGUGGUUAGGGUUGGCAGGGCUGAGGCUGCUUGGCCUCGAGGGCCAUAAAAGCAGUGUUAGAGUCUGAUCGCAGUCACCGUAGGAAUCAAGCUCCGUGCUUUGAAUUAUGAGCUCAUCACAGACCAUGGAGACCGAGUCCUGAUGCCGGAGCCAGCAUCAGAACCUUCCCUUCAUCGUGAAGCUGAAGCAGUUUGGUAGAAAUUCCUCUCUGCCUGGAAUUUGUUCCUCCCUGUGUCCGGGAACAUGUGUGACUUGGCUGCAGCUCCAGGCUUUAUUAUGGGACCGUUGAAGACACACCAGGCAGGGGUGACGGGAGGCAGAGGGGAAAUGAAAGGAAUAAAGGGUGAAGCAUAGAAAAGAUUCCUUGCUGAAAAGGUGGAGCCAUGAAGUCAAAGCAGCGUGCAUUCCCAAGUCCCUGAUGUUGAGCUAACGGUCGUUAGCCAGAUUCAUACCGGAUUGCACACGAGCAAGAAAUAAACCUUGUGUUGGGCCAGAGAUAGUAGGUGUUUUUCACUUCCACCAACUCUAGCCUGUUUGACUUGGGAAAGUGUAUCCAUGACCUGUAACUGGCCUUGGGGUUUGAGAACCCCAAGAAUAGCUUGCUAAAUAUUGUGAGCGCGUGACGAUGAGCACUUUCUGAUGCACUGCCUUACAGGAUAAACCUAAACGCUGUCUUCUUACAGCUAGUGUUUAUUCAACUGUACUCCCUUGUGAUGUCCCCUCUUGUUUGUCCUGACUCUCGUUUCCAUGUAGAGAAAUAAAUCUGGGCUUCAAAUUCAGAAGAUCUGAGUUCGAGGUGUGGCAAAGAGUUUUUUUUUAAAUAAGCUAUAUAACCUAAUGCAAGUUACUUAAUUCCCUAAG
This 1322-nucleotide long non-coding RNA is filed under the name Heterocephalus glaber (naked mole-rat). Its description in RNAcentral is "lncRNA (ENSHGLG00100046862.1)". Lineage: Eukaryota; Metazoa; Chordata; Mammalia; Rodentia; Bathyergidae. The record is from RNAcentral.